AUUGAACGCUGGCGGCAGGCCUAACACAUGCAAGUCGAGCGGAUGAAGGGAGCUUGCUCCUGGAUUCAGCGGCGGACGGGUGAGUAAUGCCUAGGAAUCUGCCUGGUAGUGGGGGAUAACGUCCGGAAACGGGCGCUAAUACCGCAUACGACCUGAGGGAGAAAGUGGGGGAUCUUCGGACCUCACGCUAUCAGAUGAGCCUAGGUCGGAUUAGCUAGUUGGUGGGGUAAAGGCCUACCAAGGCGACGAUCCGUAACUGGUCUGAGAGGAUGAUCAGUCACACUGGAACUGAGACACGGUCCAGACUCCUACGGGAGGCAGCAGUGGGGAAUAUUGGACAAUGGGCGAAAGCCUGAUCCAGCCAUGGCGCGUGUGUGGAGAAGGUCUUCGGAUUGUAAAGCACUUUAAGUUGGGAGGAAGGGCAGUAAGUUAAUACCUUGCUGUUUUGACGUUACCAACAGAAUAAGCACCGGCUAACUUCGUG
This 484-nucleotide ribosomal RNA is filed under the name uncultured bacterium. RNAcentral's name for it is "partial 16S ribosomal RNA". It matches the Rfam family "Bacterial small subunit ribosomal RNA", at positions 30 to 507 of the family's 1533-position model. The record is from RNAcentral.